This is a non-coding RNA of Acanthosepion pharaonis, 99 nucleotides long. The record is from the annotation of a GenBank genome assembly. Lineage: Eukaryota; Metazoa; Mollusca; Cephalopoda; Sepiida; Sepiidae.
CGUUGAAAUACAGGUUCUCGUGCGAUCAUAGACGUUAAGCAACAUCGAGCCUUGUCAGUACCUAGAUGGGUGACCCUUGGGAAUAUCAGGUGAUGUAAU